Molecule: long non-coding RNA, 2738 nt
Organism: Leucoraja erinaceus (little skate)
Lineage: Eukaryota; Metazoa; Chordata; Chondrichthyes; Rajiformes; Rajidae
Exons: 2
Source: RefSeq, a predicted model, not a curated record
ACAUCUGAAAUUACAGAAAAUAUCAUGCAGUCAAUAUGUUCUUCUUCUGCAUUAUAUAACCGAGAGGUAGAAAGAAAAUGCUCUUGAGAAGAUUUUUACAAGGAUGUUGCCAUGAGGCAACUAGUACUCCUGCACCUAUUCCAGCACUAUCUAAAUGGCGUCAAGUUGGCAAAAGGGGUGGUACAACGGGAUCUGGGGUUCCUUGUACAUCAGUCUAUGAAAGUAAGCAUGCAGGUAAUGGAGCAGCUGGGCUUGUACACUCUGGAGUUUAGAAGGAUGAGGGGAUCUUAUUGAAACAUAUAAGAUUGUUAAGGGCUUGGACACGCUAGAGGCAGGAAACAUGUUCCUGAUGUUGGGGGAGUCCAGAACCAGGGGCCACAGUUUAAGAAUAAGGAGUAAGCCAUUUAGAACGGAGACGAGGAAACACUUUUUCUCAGAGAGUGGUGAGUCUGUGGAAUUCUCUGCCUCAAAGGGCAGUGGAGGCAGGUUCUCCUGAUGCUUUCAAGAGAGAGCUAGAUAGGACUCUUAAAAAUAGUGGAGUCAGGGGAUAUGGGGAGAAGGCAGGAACGAGGUACUGGUUGUGGAUGAUCAGCCAUGAUCACAUUGAAUGGCGGUGCUGGCUCGAAGUGCCAAAUGGCCUACUCCUGCACUUAUUGUCUAUUGAGGCCCCGACUGUACCUGAGACAAAGGGGAGCACCCAGCUCUAAGAUCUAAACUAUAGUGAAAGUUCGGGCAGACUUAAUAAAAUUCUCAGUACAAAACAGAGUCAAUCUGUUCAUAUUCUGCAUUAAAUCAAUCAAUCAAUCAAUCAACCUUUAUUGUCAUCUUGCAAAGCAACAGUUAUACAGUGCAAAAUGAGAAGACGUUUCCCAGGGAAUACCGGAGCAUCGCACAUGAAACUUAAAACAUUUCACACACAAUAACAAUAAAAACAAUCCAGUCCCUGAUGAAACAGUAUAAAUAGUUAAAAGCAGGUAAAACAGCAACAUUAAAAUACAGUAAAAACAAUCAUUAAAAUGUCAGUGCAAAGCCGCAUAAUCAGGUGACUGAGUACAGAGUGACUGUUUAGCAGCCUCACAGCCUGUGGCAGGAAGCUGUUUAGCAGUCUGGUAGUCCGGGUUUUGAUGCUACGGUAUCUCUUGCCUGAUGGCAGGAGAUCCAGGUGUGUGUGGAGGGGGUGCAGUUUGUCCUUAGCUAUUCUCAGAGCUUUUUUCAGACAGCGGCUCUGGAACAGUUCUUGUACCGAAGGUAGGGAGACACCGAUGAUCCUAUCUGCUCCCCUCUCUACCCUCUGCAGAGCCUUCCUGUCUGAGCAGUUGCAGUUGGAGUACCACGUGUUUAUACAGUAUGUGAGUACAGACAGGAGGUACAAUGAAAAUGCUCUCAAGGAGAAGAUUUUUAAGAGGAUGUUGCCACAAGGACUCGACUAUCUGAGCUCUAUGAUCUAACUACAGUGAGAGAUUGAACAGACUAAAUAAAAUGUUCAAUAUGCCACAGAAGUAAUAAAUGUUUUCUUACCUUUCCUCCUUAACAGGGAACCUGGAGAAAGACAAGUUGGGUUGCCUACAUUGCCGAUUGGAGCAACUUACAGCAGAGCAGAAUGCAACACUAGUAGAUGUGGACGCCGCUAUGGACAAAGUGAAGAUUCUUUAGAUUCCAGAGCGGAGGCGGAAGCAAAGAUCCGAUCUUUGGCCGGAAGCAAGAUGGCGGAGGCUGGUUGCUAAAAUGGGUCCUAUAAUUGCCCAUGAAUCUGCCCAUGACUGUACUACAUAUUUUACGUAGGAGUAGGCCAUCUUGCUCCGCUAUAAGAUCUUUGCUAGAGAUAUGGAAGUGUGAAAACGACAGAUCAAAGCAGACAAUGUUCAAGGAAAUGUAGAUUGGUUCUCAUUGUUGCCUGAGGGGAAGGUGACACCGAGGCAUACAAUCAGUGAAAUUAAAUCAUGUUGGGAUGUUUUUCUUCCCAUAGAAGCCGUCUGAUCUGCUAAGUUUCUCCAGCAUUUUCUUUCUGUAUUUCUUGUCUGUGAAACAUCCUGACGAUUUUCAACAGCACCAUAAAUCCAUUAAAGCAUAAAUCAAAAAAGAGGAAUCAGACGCAUCGUUGCAGCUGGAACAGCUGGAAACAAAUGUGUUCUCACCCCACGUCUGUGAGCAGUAACAAUGCUGACCUCUGGGGCUGUGUGUGUGGGGGUGCAUUUUCACUCUAUGGCUCCCAAGGUUGUCACUAGGGGCUCCUUUCCUCCCACAUCUCAAAGACGUGUUGUUCAAUUAUUUGCUCCACGUUGUAGUUAAGCACCAAAAGAACCAAAUGGGAGUUCCGUAUGUGAGAGAAAAUAAGUUGCAGCUGCCGUGGACACAAAGGGCUUCCUUUGCAAAGAAAAUGUUUGAAAAAUCUAUGUGGAGCCACAAGAGACUGCAGAUACUCUAAUUUCAAGCAAAAAAAAAACCCAAAGCAUUGUCUGAAACAAACUGCUGGCUGAAGAAAGGCCCCGGCCCAAAACAUCGCUGUCCAUUUUUCUGCACAGACGCUGCCUGAUUUGCUGAUUUCCUCCAGCAGUUUUUUUUUUUUGCUGGAAAAUCUACAUCCUUGUAACAAUAAUUUUACUUCGAUAAUUUAUUGGGUAUUCUGCAGGAGGGCAUGGUAAGCACCUUUAAGGUGUUGGCAGACUGGUGUUUACUGAAUCUUCUAUGCAUUUAUAUUACAAAUGAAGCUUUGAAUAAAAGAUAACCUCCAGCCAGAA